This 405-nucleotide ribosomal RNA is filed under the name uncultured bacterium. Its description in RNAcentral is "bacterial SSU rRNA". It matches the Rfam family "Bacterial small subunit ribosomal RNA", at positions 30 to 436 of the family's 1533-position model. The record is from RNAcentral.
AUUGAACGCUGGCGGCAUGCUUUACACAUGCAAGUCGAACGGCAGCGCGGGGGCAACCCUGGCGGCGAGUGGCGAACGGGUGAGUAAUAUAUCGGAACGUACCCAGAAGUGGGGGAUAACGUAGCGAAAGUUACGCUAAUACCGCAUACGAUCUACGGAUGAAAGUGGGGGACCUUCGGGCCUCAUGCUUUUGGAGCGGCCGAUAUCUGAUUAGCUAGUUGGUGAGGUAAAGGCUCACCAAGGCGACGAUCAGUAGCUGGUCUGAGAGGACGACCAGCCACACUGGACUGAGACACGGUCCAGACUCCUACGGGAGGCAGCAGUGGGGAAUUUUGGACAAUGGGGGCAACCCUGAUCCAGCAAUGCCGCGUGAGUGAAGAAGGCCUUCGGGUUGUAAGACUCUUU